RNAcentral lists this small nuclear RNA (106 nucleotides) under Erinaceus europaeus (western European hedgehog). Lineage: Eukaryota; Metazoa; Chordata; Mammalia; Eulipotyphla; Erinaceidae. The record is from RNAcentral.
UUGCUGCAGCAGCAGCACAUGUACUAAAACUGGAACAACGCAGAGAAGAUUAGCAUGGCCCCUGCACAAGGAUGACAUGCAAAUUCAUGAAAAAUUCCAUAAAUUU